RNAcentral lists this unclassified non-coding RNA (157 nucleotides) under fungal sp. Its description in RNAcentral is "partial internal transcribed spacer region". The stretch from base 1 to 46 matches the Rfam family "Eukaryotic small subunit ribosomal RNA", at positions 1786 to 1831 of the family's 1831-position model. Lineage: Eukaryota; Fungi. The record is from RNAcentral.
AAGUCGUAACAAGGUUUCCGUAGGUGAACCUGCGGAAGGAUCAUUAACAAAUAAUCUACCAACCUUUGUGCAUUGGGCUGCGCGCGGCGCAGCCAUUUUCUACGUUAGUCUGAUUGCGCAAAAAUAAGAAUUUUUAACAAUGGAUCUCUAGGCUCCU